GAUGAACGCUAGCUACAGGCUUAACACAUGCAAGUCGAGGGGCAGCAUGAAAGUUUGCUUGCAAACUUUUGAUGGCGACCGGCGCACGGGUGAGUAACACGUAUCCAACCUGCCUCAUACUCGGGGAUAGCCUUUCGAAAGAAAGAUUAAUACCCGAUGUCAUAGUCCUACCGCAUGAUGGGAUUAUUAAAGAAUUUCGGUAUGGGAUGGGGAUGCGUUCCAUUAGUUAGUUGGCGGGGUAACGGCCCACCAAGACAACGAUGGAUAGGGGUUCUGAGAGGAAGGUCGGCCACAUUGGAACUGAGACACGGUCCAA
RNAcentral lists this ribosomal RNA (316 nucleotides) under uncultured bacterium. RNAcentral's name for it is "bacterial SSU rRNA". It matches the Rfam family "Bacterial small subunit ribosomal RNA", at positions 28 to 334 of the family's 1533-position model. The record is from RNAcentral.